AUUGAACGCUGGCGGCAUGCCUUACACAUGCAAGUCGAACGGUAACAGGUCUUCGGAUGCUGACGAGUGGCGAACGGGUGAGUAAUACAUCGGAACGUGCCUAGUAGUGGGGGAUAACUACUCGAAAGAGUGGCUAAUACCGCAUGAGAUCUACGGAUGAAAGCAGGGGAUCGCAAGACCUUGUGCUACUAGAGCGGCCGAUGGCGGAUUAGGUAGUUGGUGGGAUAAAAGCUUACCAAGCCGACGAUCUGUAGCUGGUCUGAGAGGACGAUCAGCCACACUGGGACUGAGACACGGCCCAGACUCCUACGGGAGGCAGCAGUGGGGAAUUUUGGACAAUGGGCGCAAGCCUGAUCCAGCCAUGCCGCGUGAAGGAUGACGGCCCUCUGGGUUGUAAACUUCUUUUAUACGGGAAUAAACCCCUCGAUUCUUCGGGGGCUGAAUGUACUGUAAGAAUAAGGAUCGGCUAACUUCGUGCCAGCAGCCGCAGUAA
This 493-nucleotide ribosomal RNA is filed under the name uncultured bacterium. Its description in RNAcentral is "partial 16S ribosomal RNA". It matches the Rfam family "Bacterial small subunit ribosomal RNA", at positions 30 to 523 of the family's 1533-position model. The record is from RNAcentral.